Long non-coding RNA from Gorilla gorilla gorilla (western lowland gorilla), 2975 nucleotides. RefSeq lists it as uncharacterized. NCBI's taxonomy places the organism in Eukaryota, Metazoa, Chordata, Mammalia, Primates, Hominidae. The record is from RefSeq and is a predicted model, not a curated record. The transcript has 3 exons.
GUGCGGCCAGGGCUGGCGCGGGGAGUCCCCAGACUCCCCCGCAGUGGGAAGCACCUCUCCCAUUCACGCCGGGCAGGACACCUGGCCGGGCGGGGGAGGCAGCGCAAGGGCCGGCCGGGGAGUACGGGACUCGAGCCGGGGACCUGAGGCAGGAGCCAAGCAUCGUCGCAGGGCAACCAGCAGAACGGAGAGGGAGGCGCGGGGGCGAAGGCUGGCGGGAGCCGCGCUGAGGGCAGGAGCCCGGAGUCCCCUAGGGCAGCGCCGAUCCGCCCGCCCCCUCCCGCCGAGCUGGGCCUCCGUAUGUGGCCUGCGCAGCCAGGGUCGCCAAGCCGCCUGGAAUGGCUCAGGCUUCCAAAAGGAGCAGGCGCCAAAAAGAGCUUUGCCCGCCGGGUGAUGGAGAUGAUGAAACUUUCCAAAGUGACUCUGAGAGCUGAGUAUGUUCCUUUCUACUUAGGAUGGGAAAAAUUCAGUAAGUUACAGUUUUCAAUAAAUCUCUCAGAAGAGUGAUAGGAAGACGGUGAGAAUAUGGACGACGUGGUGUGAAGUCAAGGAAGUUUUGGAGGCCGUCCAUUUUAAUAUGCUUCCUUAUGAUGGAAACCUGGUCUGGGUUGCUCACUACUGAACCUCCUCACACCUGGAGCCGUGCCUGGCACAAGGAGCUUACGUAUCCUCAGAAGAGAAGAAACAGACGAUUGCUGUCUUCAUUUUAGAGACAAAGAACCCGAGGCGUAGAGAGCCAGGAAAUGGAGGUAAUGACUUCUGCCCUGGAGGACUACAUGGCAUCUUCUAUGUUGAAACCACUUUCAAAGUUUUCAAAACUAUACACCCAUCAUGUAUCACUAAUAUAGCUCGAUAUACUACGGAUCACAGUCCUGACUUCAACUGUUAGUGUAAUGUCUCAUCAACACGGAGAACACGUUAUGUGGUGUUUUACUGUCAUGAACCAAACCUAUUUCCCCAGAAAAACUGGCAGAUAUUAGCAUUAAUCUGAUUUUUCAAAGAAGUUAAUUAUUUCCCAGAAUAAGUCACUGUGACUUAUCAAAGGGCCUUGGUUGGUGGGAAGUAAAGCCCAGACUGCAUUCUUGAAGCCGCUAGCCUUUGCCAGCUCAUUGCAAAUUGAGCAACACUGAUGAACCCACAGUUAAUCUGUGGAGUCAAAUGCAACUGGACACAAAUGCCUGGGGAUUUUCCCUGUGAGAUUCUCUUGCCCUUCUGGUGAUGGUGAAGGACAGCGCUACCCAUGGCAGGGGCAGUCACUGGUCUCUGGCAUUUACUUGACCUCAUGGCUGCCAUGAACACCAGGCACAGCCUUUGCAGGAGGCACUGCUGCCUUCAGCCUGCCUGGCCUGGGGGCACAGAGAGGAAAGGGAUAUGGGCUUUUGCAAAAGGCCCCUAGAGCAAAGUCAGACUGAAGGCAAAGCCUUGAGUGCUCGAUGGGCGAGAGAGAUGCUUUUGCUUCAAUUUUUACUGAGUAAUGAGGCGUACUGAGCAAAAUACACUUGUCCUUGGAAUGUGAGGCACACACGUGGCAGGCAUAAAGUUAUAAAAAGGAGGAGCUCCUUAGUCUGCUGAACUUAAAGACUUAUCUUGCCUUCCUGCUGUUAAUUCUUUACAGAGACUUCCUCUUCUCCAUUUCCCAGGGUUUUCCAUGGGGAUGUGCUUGAGGGAGAAUGGGCAGUUUAAGAGAAAAGAAUUCCUCCAGAGUGGGUUGUGGAGAGCACUGGAGAAGGUCUGGGCUGGAGCUAGAGAUUUACCUUGGCUAAAGAUAAGAGUCUGUGGUGUAUAUACACAAUGGAAUACCAUUCAGCCUUGAAAAAGAAGGAAAUAUGUCAUCAGAGGCAACAUGGAUGAACCUAGAAGACAUUAUGCUAAGUGAAAUAAGCCAGGUACGGAAAUACAAAUACUGCAUGACCUCACUUACAUACGGAAUCUUAAAAAGUCAAACUCAUAGAAGCAAAGGGCAGAAUAGUGUUUAUCAGGGGCUGGGGGUAGGGGUGGUGAGAUGGAGAUUGAAGAGAAAAAACCCCUUUGAAAAUGAUCCAUCAGAAACACUCAUUUGUGAUUUCCCCACAAUUGUGGUGCUCCAGGGAACCUUAAUGAUCAGUUACUGAGCCCUUAUUAUAUUCCUGGCUUUGUGCUAAGCCUCACUCACGUUCCCAACAGUCCUAUAAGAUAUUUUAAGUAUUACAAUCCCCAUUUAUAAGGGGCGAAUGGAGCUUGAAGCCAUGGAGUAUGUAGGGGAAGGCGUGCUGCUGGUAAGUAACACAGCUUCAGCCUUCUCUGAUCCUGGGGCCCCUCUCAUCUGUGAGCUCCUGCUCCCGUGCCCCCUGCCCAUCUUCCUAGGCUGGGGCUAGGGCUUGUCAAGCUGUACCCCGCCAGGCGGGGAUAUACAGGCACCUCAGGAGCUUGUCUCCAGCUGUCUGGACACCAGAUCCCUACUGCCCCAUUCAUAUCCUGAGGUCAACAGGUCAGUGUAGGGUGUCAUUCUCUAUUGCUACAUUUCCCAGAGAGCAGAGAUAGCAAAAUGUCUCAACACAAAGAUUAUGUAUUUCACUAAGCAAUUAUAAUUUCAACUAAAAUCAGCUGGGUGCAGUGGCUCACGCCUGUAAUCCCAGGACUUUGGGAGCCAGUGGUGGGUGGAUCACAAGGUCAGGAGAUCGAGACCAUCCUGGCUAACACGGUGAAACCCCGUCUCUACUAAAAAUACAAAAAAUUAGCUGGUCGUGGUGGCGGGCACCUGUAGUCCCAGCUGUUCGGGAGGCUGAGGUAGGAGAAUGGCAUGAACCCAGGAGGCGGAGCUUGCAGUGAGCCGAGAUAGCGCCACUGCACUCCAGCCUGGGAGAAAGAGCGAGAAUCCAUCUCAAAAAAAAAAAAAAAAAUUUCAACUAAAAUUUUUCCCUGCCUAAAUCCGAUUUAAGCAAAUGUAAAAAGUACUAUUUUAAAAAGUCAGGCUUAAUGGGCUGGAAAAUUUUUCA